This 377-nucleotide ribosomal RNA is filed under the name Pseudomonas aeruginosa. Its description in RNAcentral is "bacterial SSU rRNA". It matches the Rfam family "Bacterial small subunit ribosomal RNA", at positions 1146 to 1522 of the family's 1533-position model. The record is from RNAcentral. Lineage: Bacteria; Pseudomonadati; Pseudomonadota; Gammaproteobacteria; Pseudomonadales; Pseudomonadaceae.
AGACUGCCGGUGACAAACCGGAGGAAGGUGGGGAUGACGUCAAGUCAUCAUGGCCCUUACGGCCAGGGCUACACACGUGCUACAAUGGUCGGUACAAAGGGUUGCCAAGCCGCGAGGUGGAGCUAAUCCCAUAAAACCGAUCGUAGUCCGGAUCGCAGUCUGCAACUCGACUGCGUGAAGUCGGAAUCGCUAGUAAUCGUGAAUCAGAAUGUCACGGUGAAUACGUUCCCGGGCCUUGUACACACCGCCCGUCACACCAUGGGAGUGGGUUGCUCCAGAAGUAGCUAGUCUAACCGCAAGGGGGACGGUUACCACGGAGUGAUUCAUGACUGGGGUGAAGUCGUAACAAGGUAGCCGUAGGGGAACCUGCGGCUGGA